CCGGAUGCUUCGAGACAGGUUUCUAUAGUUUUGGGAGGUGGAUGCUGAGGACCUGAGCUGAGUGAGCGCUUCUCCAUCAAUUUCAUCCUCUGCAAGUUCAGCGCAGACGACACACUUUCUCAGUGACGCCGUAAUGAAGAAAUGAAGAAGAAAGAAAUUAAUCAGGAAGAGUUGCUGUGUGGUGUGGAAGAAGAGACUAUCUGCCCCUGAUUGUUCUGUAUUCUCUGUUAUGGUGUUGGAUGUCAUGGUCAGGGAGAUUUAUCUGAAAACUGCUUAUUAUAUAUAAAAGUAUUUAUUCUUGGCCA
Molecule: long non-coding RNA, 305 nt
Organism: Carassius carassius (crucian carp)
Lineage: Eukaryota; Metazoa; Chordata; Actinopteri; Cypriniformes; Cyprinidae
Exons: 2
Source: RefSeq, a predicted model, not a curated record